RNAcentral lists this long non-coding RNA (1387 nucleotides) under Cicer arietinum (chickpea). Its description in RNAcentral is "long non-coding RNA (CARI_LNC001204)". The record is from RNAcentral. Lineage: Eukaryota; Viridiplantae; Streptophyta; Magnoliopsida; Fabales; Fabaceae.
AAAACUAUAGUCGUUCUCUUCAUCAGCUAGCACUAAAAGUGAGGUUGCCCUCUUUCGAGUUCUAUACAUGUGAACUACGUAGAGAUGUUGCUGAUAGAGAAAUAUUUGUGAUCAACAUUCAUCAUCAAAAAAUUAUCACGGUACAAGAGGUAAUCUAAUACACUAUGAUUCACGAUCAUUUGUAAUGAUAUGUGGAUAAUUUUUUAUUUUAACCGUUGUGCUUAUAUGUUUUUACUAGCGAUUUUCCUUUAGAGCUGCAUUUAAUAACUUUUUCUUUUGUUAUGCCAAAGAAGAAGAAAGUUAUCUCAUCAUCGAAAGAGAUUUUCCCAUAAAACAUUUAUUGUGAUAAUUGUCCAGUUUUGAAAAAAUGUGCACUAAUUUUGUAGAUCACACAACUCAUGUUCCAAUUCAAAUGAUGUAGUUGGAUUAUUUUUUAGAAAACUUAAUCAUCCCAUAAUAAUAAUUUUACAUCUUAUAGGUUGUAUCAAUUAUAAGUUACAUGGUUGCUAAGAGAUAUAUUGAGAUGCCUUGAUUUUUUCAGUUGACGAGAUUAAUCACGUUUAUCGUGAGGCAAAUUGGUGUGUUGAUAAAUUGACUAAUCUAAACCUUAGUGGAGAUUUGAUAUUGUUGAUGUACGUACUCCACCUCCCAGUUAAUUGCUUCUUCUAGAUGAUGAUUGUAGAGAGAUGUUUUUCCCUCGUUUUUUGAUUUUCUUUUUUAUAUAAAAAAAAAAGAGAUCGAUUAACAGUGUUGAAAAUAAUCUUUACAUCUAAUAUUUAUAGACUUAGACGACCUAAAAAAUAUCCACUAAUAUUGUGUCACUUCCUUGACCCACUAAUUCACAUUUUAUAUUAUAGAAGAUCAUGGUUAAUCAUAACAACACAAAUUUGAUAACUGCACAUUAGCUCAAUUAGAGUAUAAAAUUGAUUGUUUAAGCUAACUAGCUCCAUGUUGCUAUUUUAAAGGAGUAAGUGGUCAUACACAAUUUAAACUUAGUAAACCCACGUCUUACCAAGUCAACUAAUUUAUAGGUAAAAGUUUAUUAUUCUGGCUAACUAUUCAACAUGUGACCAUGUUCUUCAUAUCCCUUAUUCUAUCCAGACGCGUCUGGAGCGCAAAUGUUGCGUCUGGGGCGUGUGACAUGUUGCAUAGUGCAUACAAAUGUGUUUUUCUCAUUUUCAAUGUAUCUUUUUUACUAUUGGGAAGUUUGAAGACUUGUGCCUUAACAGAGAAACUCAAAGACGACUGAUACUAAUAUCAUUGAAGGAGUUUUACCAAGAAUCAUUCAUGAAUCUCUCUUGUAAUUCUUCUUUAAUCUCUAUAUUUUGUAUCUAUGUCAUGAGUAACUAAACCCUAUUUGUUAGGGAUGAGUGAAACAAGAUGAAAC